Long non-coding RNA from Myotis daubentonii (Daubenton's bat), 2325 nucleotides. RefSeq lists it as uncharacterized. Lineage: Eukaryota; Metazoa; Chordata; Mammalia; Chiroptera; Vespertilionidae. The record is from RefSeq and is a predicted model, not a curated record.
CAUCAAUGAUGGGAGAGAAUCACUGAUUGGCUGCCUUGCACGCCUCACACUAGGGAUUGAGCCCGCAACCUGGGCAUGUGCCCUGACCUGGAAUUGAACCAUGACCUACUUACUGGUUCUUAGGUCAAUGUUCAACCACUGAGCCACGCCGGCCAGGCUAACUUAAUAUUUUUGAACAGGUCAAACACGCACAUGAUUCAACACAUGAAUGUGUGUGUGUGUAUGUGAUGACAUGCAAUGUAGAAUCUCCCUCCUCUGGAAGUGGACCAUCCACCCUGUCUCAGUUCAGACCCCCAUCCUCCCUCCGAUUAUCCAGUGUCAUUAGUCUCUUCUGUAUUCCUCUAGAACAGUGGUUCUCAACCUUCUGGCCCUUUAAAUACAGUUCCUCAUGUUGUGACCCAACCAUAAAAUUAUUUUCGUUGCUACUUCGUAACUGUAAUGUUGCUACUGUUAUGAAUCGUAAUGUAAAUAUCUGAUAUGCAGGAUGGUCUUAGGCGAGUGACCCCUGUGAAAGGGUCAUUCGACCGCCAAAGGGGUCGCGAUCCACAGGUUGAGAACCACUGCUCUAGAACGUCUUCACAUACACAAGGCAAAUGCAAAAAUGUACCGCCCUUCCCCCUGCGUACAGAAGGCAGCACUCUCUCUCCUGGUCUUUUCACUUUGUAUCUCUUCGAAAUCUCUCUAUAUUCGCACAAAUACUGCGCCUGCUUCUCUCACAGAUGCGUCCUGGUUCUUUGCAUGGAGACCACCUAUCUGAUGACCCCGUCCUCUGCCGGGCCUCUGGGUGAUUCUUCCCUGUGGCUGUUACAAAGGAGGCGGGUCAGUCAGCUUACGCAUCCACCGCUUUGCACACACGUGAAUACAUCCUGCCCAAAGCGGGGCGGAGUGGAAUUGCUGGGCCCGAGGGCAGAAGCAGUUUCAAAUUCUCAUGGCUGUUUCCAAUGGGCCUCCUUGGAGCUGUGCUGUCCGCACUGCCUCCAGCAACGGACGAGGCUGCUACCAACUCAGCCUCCCCAACAGCCUGCCGUUAGCACACCUGACGCCGCGAAGAAAGCAGCUCUCGGUGCACUUCCAACCCGGAUUUCUCCCACAGUGAGUGAGCCUGGACAUGAACGGCCAAGUCCCAGGUCCACCCCUCUGUGAACUGGCCAAGUCCUCUGCCCCAUUUCCUAGCGGGUUCUUGUGGUUUUAGAAGUAGGUCUCGGUGUGAAUAUUCAUCAGCCGCGUGCACGUGGGCCUUGCCCUCGCUCGGGGACCGGUGGACAUCACUGCGACCACAGCAACAGAGCUGAUCAUGGCAGCCUCAGCAACAGCACCAGUCCUGUAAGUCACUCACUUCCCUGGAGCUGACAAGGAAAGGAAAUGAACCCAAACGACACGGCGGCUCCUCUGGCCCAGAAGAUGAGGGAAGUGUCAGCGCUGACCAGUGAGGGCCCAUCUUCUCGCUCAGCACCCACUCACUGAGCCUGCACGGUGCUGUCCGCAAGGCGGGGGAUCUGGGUGUUAGACGGCACCAAGGGGCGUGCAGAGAAAUGGCGCAGGCGAGGAGACGCUGAGGCGUGGCACCAUUCAACUCCGGACCCAGAUUCAAUUACACGCCCUAGAAUGAGAAGAAAGCAGGCUCCAAUGUGAAAACAGACUCGGUGUGACUCAGGGAAGCAGUGCGCUACCAAGGCCGCCGGGACGAUUACUAACGAUCAGGCCACCCAUAACUGAGCUUGACGCAAGACAGACGGUCUCAUCAGGCUCUCCGAGAAUCAAGAACACCAGGCCCAGUGCCUGGCCAGGCGUAGCCAGGGUGGUGUCCUUUGCCUCCUGGACACAGCAGGCGUGGAUCUGUCACCUUAUCCACGCCACACCUGAGCGCAGUAAGCAGAAGGCACACCUGGACCACAAUCCUACCAGCCGGGCAGGCACGUCACACAGGGUUGUCAGCUGAAUGCACCCUCUCCCCCACCAACAUCUAAUCAGAGCUACUGGCAGCAAAACCACGUCUGGUAUUGUCAAAACUGCCCCGUAGAGAUAAGCUCCAUGACCUGUGCGCACAGCCUGAUAGAACAUGUCUCAUGCAAACUAAAACUUAAGAACCACUAAUGGGAAGUCUCCACAGCUGGCAGCCAUUCCAACCAUUCUGCCUUGUAAGGUAACUGUCUAUGGAGUCCCGGAAGCAACUAGGCAUAGGUGUGGAAUUGUCCAAUGGCCUGCUUGUCUGCUGUUUGAUUUACUUUAUUCCGUUUGUAAUAUUAAGGUUCUCCAAGAGCACAUAAUAGAGCAUACAGAUGGUGUGUUAUAAAGCUGUACACCUGACAUCUGUAUAAUAUUAUU